Molecule: ribosomal RNA, 244 nt
Filed under: uncultured Actinomycetales bacterium
Lineage: Bacteria; Bacillati; Actinomycetota; Actinomycetes; Actinomycetales
Description: partial 16S ribosomal RNA
Rfam family: Bacterial small subunit ribosomal RNA
Source: RNAcentral
GCUAGAGUGGCGAACGGGUGAGUAACACGUGAGUAACCUGCCCUUGACUUUGGGAUAACUUCAGGAAACUGGGGCUAAUACCGGAUAGGAGCUCCUGCUGCAUGGUGGGGGUUGGAAAGUUUCGGCGGUUGGGGAUGGACUCGCGGCUUAUCAGCUUGUUGGUGGGGUAGUGGCUUACCAAGGCUUUGACGGGUAGCCGGCCUGAGAGGGUGACCGGCCACAUUGGGACUGAGAUACGGCCCAG